CAUAUUUUCCCAACACUAACCACUUGGAGUCAUAUAGGUCAUGGAUGCAGUUGCAGGGGCUUCAAAGGCAAUCAUGUGCAAAGGUUUUUCACUCACCUUUACUGGAUCGGCUAGGCAAUGGUUCAGGCAGCUUGAGCCAAGAAGCAUCAGUUCGUUUUCUCAGCUCUCGAAACAGUUUGUGUGCAUAAUUCAUUAGAGCAAUGCAACAAAAAAAAAACCAUCAACCUAUCUAUUA
This 235-nucleotide long non-coding RNA is filed under the name Citrus x clementina. RNAcentral describes it as "Citrus clementina (C. clementina) long non-coding RNA (CCLE_LNC006638)". The record is from RNAcentral. Lineage: Eukaryota; Viridiplantae; Streptophyta; Magnoliopsida; Sapindales; Rutaceae.